UACUACCAGGUAAGGGAGGGAGAGGUGGAACCGUGGAAGAGACGGGAAGGCUGCGAUUAUGGUGGGGUGGAGAUCGAUCGGGAGGGAGAUACGAGACCAGGUCGAGUUAAAACGUUUUUGUUCGUUCGCUCGGUCGUUCUCUGGCCACAGCCAGAGCGGCUAGAGUAUGCCUGUAAGUGGAAACUGGCUUAAACAGCGCCGCAGGCCCAGCCCAUUUAAAACCCCCGGGAAAUAAGCCCCACGACGGCUUAGAGCAGCUCCAAGAGACCCCGAAUAGCUAAAUUUAGGGAUUUCCUCAAAAAAUAGCUAAAUUUGGGAAAUUUGGGCCCAAAACAGUCCUGCAACAAUAUCCUCAUCCCAUUCCUCAUAUCGAACAUAGCCAUCGGGAUCCCCCAUCCGUCAACCACCGAGCCCAAGAUCUCCCUCCGGCAUGUCCGUUCGCUUCGCCUAGGUACGCGCCAUCUUCUCCUUCUCUAGUUCCUUCGCCUCCUUCUCUGUUUGCUUCGCCCGAGUGGAGAGGCGCCCCGACCCGAGAGAAGUGGGAGGUGGUUCAGUAGGGGAGGGGAGGAGCAUGCCAACGGCCCAUUCCCAUGCUCUGCUGGGCAUGGCGCGAGGGCAGGGGCGAAGCCGCGCAGGGGAGGAGGGAAGGGGCGCAGGUGGUCGGCUGGGCAUGGCGUUGUGGCUCAGGAUGGCAAUGGGGUGGGUCUGGACAGGUCGGCCACAUAUCCAUCCCCAAACUCAUUAUCCAUCCACGAAAAUAUCCAUGGAUACAAAAAAAUAUUCACAUCCAUAUCCACACAAUAUACAUCAUAAACAGCAAAAUACAAUAGUAUUCGUGGAUAUCCAUGGACAGAGGCGGCGGCUCGUGGGGUUGGACUGAGGGAGUGAAGGACAAAAGAGGGAGUUAGGGUUAGGGUUGAGAAGGAAGGAAACUAUUUUUAUGACUCAUAUAGCUAGAUAAUGGACCCACAUGUCAGUAAUUUAUUUCUUUUAUUAAAUACCGGGUAUCCAUGGAUAUCCAUGAAUCAAAUGUGAUAUCAUGCCCACUCCACGAUUCGGCGGGUAUCCAUUCGUGGAUAUCCAUGGAGCGAGAACCCGUUUCAUACCCGCCAUCCAUUAGCUAGAUAUCCACAUCCAUUGCCAUCCUGAGUUGCGGCUGUUAGCGGAGGGGCGCAGGGGAGGAUGGAAGGGGCGCAGGUCGGCUAGACAUGGCGCGGGGAGCGCGCAGCAGCAGGAGCGGGGCGAUGGAGCACUCCCAGCAAGCAUACGGUGAUGAUGUCAAUGUGGAUUGUCCAAUACAGAACACCCAACAAGCCUGUUGUAUACCUGCUGACGAAAAACGUUGCACAAGUGCAAUACAACAGCUAUAUUGUAUUCUCUGAUGUUUUUGAACAAUGGAAGUGGCAACAUUUCUUGGCAACUUCGAGUGUAGCAGAUGCGUAUGAUGUUUGAUUUUUCAUGUUUGUCGUGCCAGUGUAAAUUUCAAUUGCACAGAUAGAUUUACUUUCAGCAGCUGGGCUAAGAUGAGACAGAGAGACUAAAUUUGUUGUAUAUACCAUUUAUGAAAUUACACAGAGAUGACUUUGUAAAUUGAAGCACUGAUAUUUGUUGUGUAUACCAUUUAUAAAAUUAUGGAGUGUUGUGAUGGAUUCUCAAGAUGUUUUUGUAAAUUGAAG
Molecule: long non-coding RNA, 1676 nt
Filed under: Brachypodium distachyon (stiff brome)
Lineage: Eukaryota; Viridiplantae; Streptophyta; Magnoliopsida; Poales; Poaceae
Description: long non-coding RNA (BDIS_LNC000887)
Source: RNAcentral